UGGGGAAUAUUGGACAAUGGGGGCAACCCUGAUCCAGCCAUGCCGCGUGUGUGAAGAAGGCCUUCGGGUUGUAAAGCACUUUCAGUGGGGAGAAAGGUCUGUCACCUAAUACGUGAUGGAAUUGAUGCUACCCACAGAAGAAGCACCGGCUAACUCCGUGCCAGCAGCCGCGGUAAUACGGAGGGUGCAAGCGUUAAUCGGAAUUACUGGGCGUAAAGCGCACGUAGGUGGUUUGUUAAGUCAGCUGUGAAAUCCCCGGGCUCAACCUGGGCACUGCAGUUGAAACUGGCAAGCUAGAGUAGGGUAGAGGGGUGUGGAAUUCCAGGUGUAGCGGUGAAAUGCGUAGAUAUCUGGAGGAACAUCAGUGGCGAAGGCGACACCCUGGACUCAUACUGACACUGAGGUGCGAAAGCGUGGGGAGCAAACA
Molecule: ribosomal RNA, 427 nt
Filed under: uncultured Cellvibrio sp.
Lineage: Bacteria; Pseudomonadati; Pseudomonadota; Gammaproteobacteria; Cellvibrionales; Cellvibrionaceae
Description: bacterial SSU rRNA
Rfam family: Bacterial small subunit ribosomal RNA
Source: RNAcentral